GACGAACCGUGCGAACGUUGUUCGGAAUCACUGGGCUUAAAGGGCGCGUAGGCGGGUUCUCCAGUCAGGGGUGAAAUCCCACGGCUCAACCCGUGGAACGGCCCCUGAUACUGAGAGUCUCGAGGGAGGUAGGGGCAUGUGGAACUUCCGGUGGAGCGGUGAAAUGCGUAGAUAUCGGAAGGAACGCCGGUGGCGAAAGCGACGUGCUGGACCUCUUCUGACGCUGAGGCGCGAAAGCUAGGGGAGCAAACGGG
RNAcentral lists this ribosomal RNA (254 nucleotides) under uncultured bacterium. Its description in RNAcentral is "partial 16S ribosomal RNA". It matches the Rfam family "Bacterial small subunit ribosomal RNA", at positions 524 to 776 of the family's 1533-position model. The record is from RNAcentral.